AGCUGGCUGUGGAGAAAAGCU
Molecule: microRNA, 21 nt
Filed under: Zea mays
Lineage: Eukaryota; Viridiplantae; Streptophyta; Magnoliopsida; Poales; Poaceae
Description: microRNA miR-3072
Source: RNAcentral